Molecule: ribosomal RNA, 935 nt
Filed under: uncultured Pseudomonas sp.
Lineage: Bacteria; Pseudomonadati; Pseudomonadota; Gammaproteobacteria; Pseudomonadales; Pseudomonadaceae
Description: bacterial SSU rRNA
Rfam family: Bacterial small subunit ribosomal RNA
Source: RNAcentral
UGCAAGUCGAGCGGUAGAGAGAAGCUUGCUUCUCUUGAGAGCGGCGGACGGGUGAGUAAUGCCUAGGAAUCUGCCUGGUAGUGGGGGAUAACGUUCGGAAACGGACGCUAAUACCGCAUACGUCCUACGGGAGAAAGCAGGGGACCUUCGGGCCUUGCGCUAUCAGAUGAGCCUAGGUCGGAUUAGCUAGUUGGUGAGGUAAUGGCUCACCAAGGCGACGAUCCGUAACUGGUCUGAGAGGAUGAUCAGUCACACUGGAACUGAGACACGGUCCAGACUCCUACGGGAGGCAGCAGUGGGGAAUAUUGGACAAUGGGCGAAAGCCUGAUCCAGCCAUGCCGCGUGUGUGAAGAAGGUCUUCGGAUUGUAAAGCACUUUAAGUUGGGAGGAAGGGUUGUAGAUUAAUACUCUGCAAUUUUGACGUUACCGACAGAAUAAGCACCGGCUAACUCUGUGCCAGCAGCCGCGGUAAUACAGAGGGUGCAAGCGUUAAUCGGAAUUACUGGGCGUAAAGCGCGCGUACGUGGUUUGUUAAGUUGGAUGUGAAAUCCCCGGGCUCAACCUGGGAACUGCAUUCAAACUGACUGACUAGGUAUGGUAGAGGGUGGUGGAAUUUCCUGUGUAUCGGUGAAAUGCGUAGAUAUAGGAAGGAACACCAGUGGCGAAGGCGACCACCUGGACUACUACUGACACUGAGGUGCGAAAGCGUGGGGAGCGAACAGGAUUAGAUACCCUGGUAGUCCACGCCGUAAACGAUGUCGACUAGCCGUUGGAAGCCUUGAGCUUUUAGUGGCGCAGCUAACGCAUUACUUUGACCGCCUGGUGAGUACGGCCGCUAGGUUAAUACUCACAUGAAUUGACAGUGGCCCGCACUAGCGGUGGAGCAUGUGGUUUAAUUCGAAGUGACGCUGACAGGCUUACCAGGGCGUGAUCUC